GCCGCAGUGAUAGCUUAGUUGGUAGGCGCCAGGUGAGAGAUUGCAAUGCUCAGAGACAUAUCUGCGCGGGUUCGAAUCCCACUUCUGGCU
Molecule: non-coding RNA, 90 nt
Organism: Aromia moschata
Lineage: Eukaryota; Metazoa; Arthropoda; Insecta; Coleoptera; Cerambycidae
Source: the annotation of a GenBank genome assembly